AGCUUGAGUUUUUCUUUAUCAAUGCAUAAAUCUUUCGUCUUUUGCUAAAGAUUUCCAUGGAGGGGAACCUUUGCAAGUGACCUGUAUUUUUGGGGGCUAUGCUCACAGCAGAACU
Molecule: small nuclear RNA, 115 nt
Organism: Labeo rohita (rohu)
Lineage: Eukaryota; Metazoa; Chordata; Actinopteri; Cypriniformes; Cyprinidae
Product: U5 spliceosomal RNA
Exons: 1
Source: RefSeq, a predicted model, not a curated record